This 301-nucleotide ribosomal RNA is filed under the name uncultured bacterium. RNAcentral describes it as "partial 16S ribosomal RNA". It matches the Rfam family "Bacterial small subunit ribosomal RNA", at positions 509 to 808 of the family's 1533-position model. The record is from RNAcentral.
CAGCAGCCACGGUAAUACGUAGGGGGCGAGCGUUGUCCGAAGUUACUGGGCGUAAAGCGCGCGUAGGCGGCUUCUUAAGUCUGAGGUGAAAGGUUCAACGCUUAACGUGAACAGUGCCUUGGAUACUGGGGAGCUUGAGUAUGGGAGAGGGCAGUGGAAUGGCUGGUGUAGCGGUGAAAUGCGUAGAUGUCAGUCGGAACACCCAUGGCGAAGGCAGCUGCCUGGCCUAAUACUGACGCUGAGGUGCGAAAGCGUGGGGAGCGAACGGGAUUAGAGACCCCUGUAGUCCCUGUCUCUUAUA